GCCCUCGGUGGCUCAGAUGGAUAGAGCGUCUGCCAUGUAAGCGGAGAUCCCGGGUUCGAGUCCCGGUCGGGGCA
Molecule: non-coding RNA, 74 nt
Organism: Schistocerca piceifrons (Central American locust)
Lineage: Eukaryota; Metazoa; Arthropoda; Insecta; Orthoptera; Acrididae
Source: the annotation of a RefSeq genome assembly